CCUUCAACUCCGCCUGUAUCUUCUCCGGGGGCUACUGCCGGUCCCAAGCCCGGAUAAAGGAAGAGGGUUGG
Schistosoma mansoni is the source of this 71-nucleotide non-coding RNA. The record is from Rfam. NCBI's taxonomy places the organism in Eukaryota, Metazoa, Platyhelminthes, Trematoda, Strigeidida, Schistosomatidae.